GCCUUAUUUGGUUCAAAUGAACUACUCCAUGAAUAUUUUAUUCUCGAAAGUAAAUUGCCUAAUUUAUGUUAAAUAAUGAAAAGUGGAGAUAAAAUAGCAUUUUAUUUUUCAUGAAGUGAAUAUUUACUCUCAACCAAACAAAUCAAUUUUUUUUGCAUUUCCUAAUAACUUGAAGUUUUCCUAAUUCACUUACCUCCAAUCAAACAAGAGUUGUGCAUAGAAGUCAGCUUCGAUUAACUAAACCGAACUAAAUCGAAUUUUGAGUUAACCAAAAUUAUAGCAUACUCCAACUAUAUUAAACAAGAGUUGUGCAUACAAAGCAAGAUAUAUACACAAGAGCUCACCGUGGCCUGAUUCUG
RNAcentral lists this unclassified non-coding RNA (359 nucleotides) under Hevea brasiliensis (rubber tree). Lineage: Eukaryota; Viridiplantae; Streptophyta; Magnoliopsida; Malpighiales; Euphorbiaceae. The record is from RNAcentral.